GCCGUAGUGAUAACAAACCUAUUUUGGCGACUGGGGCUGGGAGGCUUAGCGUCACGGGUUUACCAUGCCCACCGUAACAUACACUGCUCUCUGAGACACACCACCUCCGUGAGCCUCCGCCUAGCGAGCGUGUUCUCUGCUCUUAUUUGCCCCAUUUUGUNUGGGCAACGAGGCGGGGAAGCAAGUGAAGGAAUCGGGGCGCAGCUUCCCAACGGAGACGCGCCCACCGUGCUACNCAGCCAGCUGACACUGAAGCACGAAGAUGUGUCUGCGGUACCACCGCCUCGCACGCUAAGCAAAGUGGAGGAGGCAGCUGCUUCUUCAUUGGCUGCUUCCGACCGCAUGUGCCGGCCCCUCACUAUCUGAAUGGGAGUGGGGAGGGGGGAAAGCCCAGUGCAAGCUGUGAUCCUGCAUGGUAGGAGUUGGCUGUAGCUGCAGCUGCAGCCAGAAACUGCAUCCGAAAGAGGAAAGUCAAGAGCUGCCUUAAGGAUAUAGGGCAAAAAUCCAGGAAUAGGGAGACAACAUCCCACUUUCCCAGUUUGUUCCCGCCAGGCAAGAAGAGAACUGAGGACCNUAUGUUUACAACAUAUGGAAGGAAGAUGAGAGAAUGUAUAAGAGAAACAUUCUUCUGGCCAGUGAAAGAUCUCAGAGUUACUCAGCAGGGAGAAGCCAUGGAGGUGAAUUCUAAGGAUCAGUCCAGCUCACCUCAGAAGCAGGGGGUGAAAGCUCGGUCCAAAUCCACAGAGGAGAUCCAGCCUGCCAAGAAGGCUUUCCACACUCCCCAGAAGUCUUUGCCUAGCCAGAUGGAUGGAGAUGAGUCCAAGGCUUCCUGUCCUGAUCCAGCACCUAAUACCAUUCAGCAGCAGCAGUAGACUUGAGGAACAGAUACUGCAUGUGUGCAGAUGGAGAGGAGAGGAGUCAUAACUGUUCCUUGCACUCUUCUUUGGUUUCACCUUGUUGCUCAGUCUUCAUGCCUUCGUGGAUGUCACUGUAGUUCUGUCUGUCCAGCUGUUGCUGUCUGACUGUCUGUCUUCCCUGUGGAAUGAAAUCUGGAUAAAUAAAGCUAGUUGGAACAUCCU
This 1079-nucleotide long non-coding RNA is filed under the name Salvator merianae (Argentine black and white tegu). RNAcentral's name for it is "lncRNA (ENSSMRG00000007203.1)". Lineage: Eukaryota; Metazoa; Chordata; Lepidosauria; Squamata; Teiidae. The record is from RNAcentral.